GCGACAUCUUGGUUGGCAGUCUGCGUUGGUGCUGCUCCAGUCGCUCUCUCUGGGCUAAACAGAUGUCUUCGGUACUGUCCCGUCGACGCUUCCACGUUCGCAGCGAGGGGGGCUAAGAUCUUUGCGAGCGCCGCGAUUUGGUCGGUCCUCACUUUCUGGGCCGCGUCUUGCUGCGCAAGGCGCGCCAUGAUAGUUUCUAUUGAAGCAGGUUGGAGUGGUGUCGGAGUCACAGGGAAGGACGCCGGUGUUACUUCGGCAGCUUCACGCUCUUCUUCAGGGGAAGAGCCGACGUUACUCGUCGUCAUCUUGUCGACGUUACUUUGCUAGAUGCCCCACGAUGGGCGCCAACUGUUUGAUCGGGAAACGGUACGAAACGAGAGAACGUUCAAUUUUAGAAGUGGAUUUAAGAAAAGAUGUCUUAUUAAUGGUCGGGAGAGUGUUUCGUCAGUUACAAGAAAAGGAAAUGCGUGAAAGGAAAAGUACCGGAGCCUGAAAGGCUUUGCCAGAGAGAUACAACAAGACGAGACAACAAAGGUAAAAACCUUAAUCUAGCCGCCAAGUGUGUGUCAAUGAUUUCGAAUCCCCUUUACGUUGUCUUUCCUCUCCUUUUUAUAGCUGACCUCAUGCUCUCCCGUGACCUAGUUCGCAUCGUCUUCGUGGGCUUCUAACUCACUGGACCGAGAAACCCACGCUUUCUCUGUAGAAUCGUUUCCUCAGGAUUCGACCCUUCGAGGCUCCGCGCCGAGCCGUUGUUUCGCUUUAUGUGGGCUGGACCGUCUAUUUUUCGGGCCUUGAGGGAUUAUAGAAUUUACUCUCUACAGAAACUAACUGAUUUCUUUACUUCCACAAACUAACUAGGCAAUAAAAAAAAAGUAAUUCAAAAACUAUUUCUUAUUUAAUUGAAAAGUCACAUAUUCCCUAUAUUCUCUCUCCAAUAUCGAUUUGGAUCUCAGAUUUACUUUCUCAAAUUUUCUAUGUGAUUUGUCGAAGAAAACCAUGAACCCAGAGUUAUCAAGCUGGUUUUGAUUCUGUGAUUUCCUCUCCACGUCUUUAUUCAUCGUUCUCCACUUUCCGAUAAUUCUCAUCUACCCUUUUACUCUCUUUAAUGAACCAUGACGAAAUCGAAGCUAAAGAAGAAAGGCAAGACUACUGAGGAACCAACCCCAUCGCAAACCAAUAUCGGAAUCGAGAAACCAUGGCAAAACCGAAGUCAAAGAAGCUCAAUAGUCAACCUUUGAGAUUUUGUGGACGGAAGAGAUGGCAGAGCUCCGAUGUGGAGAAGACGACACGACGGCGACCAGGUCCGAGCUCCGUUGUGGAGAGGACGACGGGAUGGCGAGAAGGUCCGAGCUACGGUGUGGAGAGGACGCGAAGACGAGCAGAUCCGAGCUCCAUUGAUUAUUUUGCUCAUUGUUUUGUGCAACGAUUGCUGCGGUCAUGGCGGAUGCUGCGGAGAUUCAAAUUCUCGUCGAUUACUGGUAUUUGACACCGGCACAACUUUCAGUUCUCAAGAAGUGGAAGCGGUGAUGGCGGAUGCGGCGGAGCUGCAAGAGCAAUCAUCUAUACAUAUUUGCCUUUUGGUCCACCAGGAACACGCACUCCUCCUAUACUCAUGACAUCUCUACCUGCCUUUUCUGGUUCCAGCCCUUCCUCUACAACUCCAAUACCCGGUUUUUCUGUAGGUCCUACUCAAAUAAAUCAUGGUAUUCAUCCGCACAUGUAACCUCCUUAUCAUUCUCUGCCAACAGUUCAUGUAAUGCUUCAGACAUUAGUAAACUAUGUUGCACUGAAUUAUAAUAGUGGAGACACAUUCAUAUGUUUUUUUUUAACACCUACCAAUUCAUAUGGCUAAUAGUUAGUUGUUUGCAUAAUUGUCUCAUAACACAAAUUACUAACAAAAAUAACCGUAUGUUCAAUGUCUAUUAUUAUCUAUUCAUGUGUCCAUGUCCACGCCUAUUAGUUUACAAAUAGCCAUCCACAAAUAUUCAUACACAUAUUCAAACGAACAUGUUCAUGUCUUUUCCUUUCGCAUGAUAGAGUAAGAAAAAAAGUACAUUAAAGUGACGAAGUCUAUAAAGGCGUCUACAAAGGGAAAGGCGUCGGUACGGAGUCACUGUCAGCUGUGGAUAUAGACUAUAUUAUAAGGAACGGAGUCUUAAACUAUUGACCGAGACUACACUGAGGAACAAGGAAGCCUGACUGAGCAACCGUCUAUGUAUAUUAUUGAUUAUAACUUGUCCACAAAAACAAUAUUCAUGAGAUACUAUCUAUGAAUUUUUUUCACA
Brassica rapa (field mustard) is the source of this 2285-nucleotide long non-coding RNA. RefSeq lists it as uncharacterized. Lineage: Eukaryota; Viridiplantae; Streptophyta; Magnoliopsida; Brassicales; Brassicaceae. The record is from RefSeq and is a predicted model, not a curated record.